CCUACGGGCCGCACCAGUAGGGAAUCUUCCGCAAUGGACGAAAGUCUGACGGAGCAACGCCGCGUGAGUGAUGAAGGUUUUCGGAUCGUAAAGCUCUGUUGUUAGGGAAGAACAAGUACCGUUCGAAUAGGGCGGUACCUUGACGGUACCUAACCAGAAAGCCACGGCUAACUACGUGCCAGCAGCCGCGGUAAUAUGUAGGUGGCAAGCGUUGUCCGGAAUUAUUGGGCGUAAAGCGCGCGCAGGCUGAUAGAUAAGUCAGAGGUGAAAUCCCGGGGCUCAACCCCGGAAUUGCCUUUGAUACUGUUUAUCUUGAGUGCAGAAGAGGUAAGUGGAAUUCCGAGUGUAGAGGUGAAAUUCGUAGAUAUUGGGAAGAACACCGGUGGCGAAGGCAGCAACCUGGCUCGAUACUGACGCUGAGGCGCGAAAGCGUGGGGAGCAAACAGGAUUAGAUACCCGAGUAGUC
Molecule: ribosomal RNA, 466 nt
Filed under: uncultured bacterium
Lineage: Bacteria
Description: bacterial SSU rRNA
Rfam family: Bacterial small subunit ribosomal RNA
Source: RNAcentral